GCACAAGCAGCGGAGCGUGUGGUUUAAUUCGAUGCUACACGAAGAACCUUACCAGGGUUUGACAUACAAGUAGUAGGGAAGGAAACUGGACCGACCUUCGGGGAGCUUGUACAGGUGCUGCACGGCUGUCGUCAGCUCGUGUCGUGAGAUGUUCGGUUAAGUCCGCUAACGAGCGCAACCCUCGCUGUGUGUUAUAUGUGUCACACAGGACUGCUGGUAUUAAGCCGGAGGAAGGUGGGACGACGUCAAGUCAGCAUGACCUUUAUAUCCAGGGCUACACACACGCUACAAUGGUCAGUACAAUGGGUUGCCAAGCCGCGAGGCGGAGCCAAUCCUAAAAAGCUGGCCUCAGUUCAGAUUGCAGUCUGAAACUCGACUGCAUGAAGUUGGAAUCGCUAGUAAUCGUGGAUCAGCCAAGCCGCGGUGAAUACGUUCCCGGGCCUU
RNAcentral lists this ribosomal RNA (444 nucleotides) under uncultured Anaerolineaceae bacterium. RNAcentral describes it as "bacterial SSU rRNA". It matches the Rfam family "Bacterial small subunit ribosomal RNA", at positions 923 to 1382 of the family's 1533-position model. The record is from RNAcentral. Lineage: Bacteria; Bacillati; Chloroflexota; Anaerolineae; Anaerolineales; Anaerolineaceae.